UGCUUUUGUAUAUGCGGCUAUCCGGACGGCAUUGGUGUUUGGGAUUUUCCAACCUUUUUAUGACUGGGAGUUUUAGUUAAAAUAUAUGCUGAUCUAAACAGAAGCAAAAAAAAAGGUGUUAUGGACAGCGCUUUUAAUCCUACUCAAUACGAUGAUACCCACGCAGAUGGACUUCUACAAAAUAGUGUGCUGAAACAGCCGAGACGUAUGACAAUCGUUUCUGUAAGACGAAAGAAAAGAACAACAAAAGAUACGAGCUUCAAAGUAUUGCUAUCAAUAACAAUCAUACUUUUCCUCUUUCUGAUCGGAUUGGUAAUCAUCACUAUUUUUU
Styela clava is the source of this 331-nucleotide non-coding RNA. The record is from RefSeq and is a predicted model, not a curated record. NCBI's taxonomy places the organism in Eukaryota, Metazoa, Chordata, Ascidiacea, Stolidobranchia, Styelidae.